Haliotis rubra (blacklip abalone) is the source of this 776-nucleotide long non-coding RNA. RefSeq lists it as uncharacterized. The record is from RefSeq and is a predicted model, not a curated record. NCBI's taxonomy places the organism in Eukaryota, Metazoa, Mollusca, Gastropoda, Lepetellida, Haliotidae. The transcript is spliced from 2 exons.
AUUCUUACCCGGAUCUUCAAGGGUAAAUUCCUCCCCGAAGGGGUGGUGGGGUAGUCUAGUGGUUAGAACGUUCGCUUGUAUAUAUAUACACGUUGCAAUCUGUCAUGGGUUGUGUGUAAAGCAACACAGCCUUCCAUAUGUGGGUGUUUUAUCUUUGAAAAUACGGGUUAGAACUAAUAACAAGCAGCCCAUGCUUGUCCUGAGAGGCGACUAACAAGAUCGGGUGAGCAGGCUUGCUGACUUGGUUGAUACACCAUCGUCUUGCAGUUUGUAGAGUGAUGUUCAUGAUGUCAAUCACUGGAUUAUCUGGUCGAUUAUUUAUAGCCCACCGCCAUACAGCUGGAAAACUGCUGAGUGCGGCAUUAAAAACAACCAACCCCAAAUGCGAGUGUUCUUUAAACUGUUUUAAGUCGUAUACGUUCAUUUUCAACAUGGGCCUUUUUUAUUGAAAUAUAUUUGUUGCAUGGCAUCAAUGUGAUUAAACUAUUUUUAUAUUAGGAACAGUUUUGCCAAUGUGUGAAAGAUGUGUGCCCUAGAGUACCCUUUAAAGAAUAACAUAUCAUUGCGUUUAUUCAGAUUUACUCAUCACGAAAAGUAUUGGUUUAUUAUUUACUUCAUGUUUUUUAUAUAUAUAUAUAUAUAUACUUGCAGGCAAAAGAAACUAUACACUUGAAAAUUCAAAUUAGCCAAAUGAUUAUCAACAUUAUUAAAGUUUUAGGGCUGAGAAUGCAAAAAAAACACCAUGUAUCUAAUGUUCAUCAUGUACAAACAUAUUG